Long non-coding RNA from Panicum virgatum (switchgrass), 869 nucleotides. RefSeq lists it as uncharacterized. The record is from RefSeq and is a predicted model, not a curated record. Lineage: Eukaryota; Viridiplantae; Streptophyta; Magnoliopsida; Poales; Poaceae. The transcript is spliced from 3 exons.
AUUACUUGAGCGAUUACGUUUAGGCAAUGACAGUGAUGAUGAAAGCGUUCCUCCUUUGGAGCACGCCGUUGAUGAUAUCGACGGACGUGAUAGCGAUGAUGAGACUUACGAUCCAGCUAAUCCCGAUCUUGAAGAGUAUUUCUAAUACAUGUGAUAGAUCAAAGAUGGCGGGGCGCGGCGGAGGUAUGAUGCAGUCGUUGGAGGCUGUGCUGCGCAGAGUUGCUGGGAGAGGUGAGUUCUCCCAGAUGGCUGGAGGGAGGACGAGGAGGAGGAGGGUAAGGCAAGUUCGUCGGUGCCUCCACUAGAUGAGGACGCUGGCACGUCACAGACGACGAGGAGCAGCCGGAGUAGCAGGAGGACGAGGGGGCCUCGCGCGAGGUCACCCUCCCCUGAGGACGAGGAGGAGCAGGAGCAGGACCAGGAGGAGGACCAGCAGGAGCAGGAGGAGGAGGACCAGGAGCAGGACCAGGAGGAGGACUAGCAGCAGCAGGACCAGGACCAGGAGGAGGAGGAGGAGGAGGAGGCCUCUAGUGAGGAGGACGACGACCACGGAGGAGUGGCAGGAGACAUACCUGCCGUCUGGAUGUGAGGCCCCGCUCGUCUCCCGAACUGACCUAUACCGCUCGAGCAACGGCCGAUUAUUCGGCCGGACGGUAAAAGGAAUUUUGUAAUCGUUGUUCCAGGUGUUCACAAACGCAUCCCCAAUGGCAUUCUGGGCCUGCUUUGCAAGGACCACUACCCUGGAUGCAUCGAGAUUGAUGGCCGUCUUCAGCCGGCGUCGGCUUGGGAGCACUACAUCCAAGCCAUCGAUAGACCGGACCGAGAAGGCAGGUGCUUUGCGAGCAAAGCAGAGCGGGUGUUGCAGGAAC